RNAcentral lists this transfer RNA (88 nucleotides) under Chlorobiota bacterium. RNAcentral describes it as "tRNA-Ser". It matches the Rfam family "tRNA". From Rfam's summary of the family: Transfer RNA (tRNA) molecules are approximately 80 nucleotides in length. Their secondary structure includes four short double-helical elements and three loops (D, anti-codon, and T loops). The record is from RNAcentral. Lineage: Bacteria; Pseudomonadati; Chlorobiota.
GGAGAAGUGCGAGAGUGGUUGAAUCGGACGGUCUCGAAAACCGUUAUAGGAGCAAUCCUAUCGAGGGUUCGAAUCCCUCCUUCUCCGC